Molecule: ribosomal RNA, 468 nt
Filed under: uncultured bacterium
Lineage: Bacteria
Description: partial 16S ribosomal RNA
Rfam family: Bacterial small subunit ribosomal RNA
Source: RNAcentral
GACGAACGCUGGCGGCGUGCUUAACACAUGCAAGUCGAACGGAAAGGCCCUGCUUUUGUGGGGUGCUCGAGUGGCGAACGGGUGAGUAACACGUGAGUAACCUGCCCUUGAGUUUGGGAUAACUUCAGGAAACUGGGGCUAAUACCGGAUAGGAGCUCCUGCUGCAUGGUGGGGGUUGGAAAGUUUCGGCGGUUUGGGAUGGACUCGCGGCUUAUCAGCUUGUUGGUGGGGUAGUGGCUUACCAAGGCUUUGACGGGUAGCCGGCCUGAGAGGGUGACCGGCCACAUUGGGACUGAGAUACGGCCCAGACUCCUACGGGAGGCAGCAGUGGGGAAUAUUGCACAAUGGGCGGAAGCCUGAUGCAGCAACGCCGCGUGCGGGAUGACGGCCUUCGGGUUGUAAACCGCUUUCGCCUGUGACGAAGCGUGAGUGACGGUAAUGGGUAAAGAAGCACCGGCUAACUACGUG